Molecule: unclassified non-coding RNA, 240 nt
Filed under: soil metagenome
Description: partial contains 5.8S ribosomal RNA, internal transcribed spacer 2, and large subunit ribosomal RNA
Source: RNAcentral
AACGGUCUAUACCUGCGGUACCUGCGGAGGGAUCAUUACAUGGCGGAGAAGGUGGGCAACCUGGCCAACAUCCAGGUUGUGAUGCCUUCACGCUCUUCCACCCUUGUCUAUUUGCACCUUCUGUCGUUCCCUCGGCGGGUUUCGACCCGCCGGCGGCAACAUUGAAAAACCCUUUUUGCAGUUAGCAUUCAAUUCUUCUGAUCAAAUAUUAAAUCAUUACAACUUUUAACAACGGAUCUC